RNAcentral lists this transfer RNA (69 nucleotides) under Lobopterella dimidiatipes. RNAcentral describes it as "tRNA-Leu". Lineage: Eukaryota; Metazoa; Arthropoda; Insecta; Blattodea; Blattellidae. The record is from RNAcentral.
UCUAAUAUGGCAGAAAAGUGCAAUGGAUUUAAGCUCCAAACAUGAAAUUAAUUCUAAUUUCUAUUAGAA